Molecule: ribosomal RNA, 229 nt
Filed under: uncultured bacterium
Lineage: Bacteria
Description: partial 16S ribosomal RNA
Rfam family: Bacterial small subunit ribosomal RNA
Source: RNAcentral
CGCGUAGGCGGCCGUUUAAGUCAGAUGUGAAAGCCCGGGGCUCAACCCCGGAAGUGCAUUUGAUACUAUUCGGCUUGAGUAUGGGAGAGGGAAGUGGAAUUCCUGGUGUAGAGGUGAAAUUCGUAGAUAUCAGGAGGAACACCGGUGGCGAAGGCGACUUCCUGGACCAAUACUGACGCUGAGGCGCGAAGGCGUGGGGAGCAAACAGGAUUAGAUACCCUGGUAGUCC